This 497-nucleotide ribosomal RNA is filed under the name uncultured bacterium. RNAcentral's name for it is "partial 16S ribosomal RNA". It matches the Rfam family "Bacterial small subunit ribosomal RNA", at positions 28 to 507 of the family's 1533-position model. The record is from RNAcentral.
GAUGAACGCUGGCGGCGUGCCUAAUACAUGCAAGUCGAGCGAACAGAUGAGGAGCUUGCUCCUCUGACGUUAGCGGCGGACGGGUGAGUAACACGUGGAUAACCUACCUAUAAGACUGGGAUAACUUCGGGAAACCGGAGAUAAUACCGGAUAAUAUAUUGAACCGCAUGGUUCAAUAGAGAAAGACGGUUUUGCUGUCACUUAUAGAUGGAUCCGCGCCGCAUUAGCUAGUUGGUAAGGUAACGGCUUACCAAGGCAACGAUGCGUAGCCGACCUGAGAGGGGGAUCGCCCACACUGGAGCUGAGACGGGCUCAAGACUCCUACGGGAGGCAGCAGUAGGGAAUCUUCCGCAAUGGUCGAAAGCCUGGCGGAGCAACGCCGCGCGAGUGAUGACAGUCUUCGGAGCGUAAAACUCUGUUAUUAGGGAAGAACAAAUGUGUAAGUAACUAUGCACGUCUUGACGGUACCUAAUCAGAAAGCCACGGCUAACUACGUG